Oreochromis niloticus (Nile tilapia) is the source of this 591-nucleotide long non-coding RNA. RefSeq lists it as uncharacterized. The record is from RefSeq and is a predicted model, not a curated record. The transcript is spliced from 3 exons. NCBI's taxonomy places the organism in Eukaryota, Metazoa, Chordata, Actinopteri, Cichliformes, Cichlidae.
CAGUGAGGGACAGGAGAGAAGUCAGCAGACCCACACAGCAGGUUGGUGAUGGGGUUUAUUUCCAGCAAACUGGCCACCAUCAGAGCCAGGCAGAUGGAAAAGAACACGUCUACAGAGAGACAACGUGACCGGCAGCAGGUCAUUCAUGAUCAGCGGGAAGACGGUGUGGCCGAGGAUGAGGGUCAUCUUGAAGGUGGACCUGUCCACGCUCUGUGGAAGCAGCAGGAAGCUGAAGAGGUAGACUGUGAUGAGAAAGCAGCUGGGCAGCAGGAUGUUUACCAUAUACAUAGUGGCCCGGCACCUCAAUCUAAUCUGUGGAAAGAAAAGAAGAGAUAACUGAGGUCUUCCAAGAAAAAUCUUUAUGUGCCUCGCUGCGCAGGGAAGAAAGGUGAAGAGAAAAAUGCUCUCUUAAGUCAGAGUUCACUUAAAGCCCACAUUCAAUUUAGAGAUAAUUAAAAAGGGUAUAUAAUAAUAAUCAAGUGUUAAAUGUUCUUACCAAAGUGCAAGCAGGGGUUGAAGGUAUAAGUGCAGUUUUGUAUGUCAAAGGGGAAGGUGUAGACAUCAAGGUUACAGGAGCUGACAGCUCUGACA